UGGCACUCUGCUACCAUUUAGCAUGAGAGGAGAUGUGAGUGAAGAAAACUGGGGUAGAAAACGGAGGUGGUUAUACUUCACGGUGGUAAACAAUCUUACUCACACAGGUAACCUUAAGGCGAGAGCUUCCUUUUUCCUGGCUUUGGAAAGGAGCCCAGCCAAGUGAGUGACCUGGGAGCUCAAGCUUCAAUGGCUUCGUGGUAAAUGGCUGCUGCCCAAAUAAAACCUUUACCUCAAGCUACACAUUCGAAACUGGAAGAAGGCAUUCGUUCUUGCCUAGGGAGAGCCUUCCUGGGAGGUGGCUCAUCAAACCCUCGUGGUGGGUGGCUCCCCUUAUUGAUGGCCUUAUCAGUGGUAGGGGAUCUUUGCCUGGUGCAAAGAAACAUCAGUAAGACAGGGGAGGGAGAAACCUAUUGUAUUAAAUCUUUCUUUCUCCUUUCAUUUUUUUUCCCUCCUGCCUCCCACAGACACCUGGUAUCAGUUCCAAAAGACACAUUUUAGUGCCUUUAAGCAAAACUAGUUCUUCUGCCUGGGCGAACUCUGACACUGAACUUUCUGUUUCCAGCCCCCUUAAAAAACCUUCAUCAAAUUUCCACCACGCAAAGGUUGAAGUGUUUCGGUCACCGAAGCGGUUCAGUGAUGAUCGUGGUGGCUGUUUCUUAAAGGGGAUACUCGUUCAUUCAUUCAUUCAUUCAUUAGUUCGUUCAUUCAACAAACACGUAGCAAAUUCCGCAAUGUGACAGACAUUGCGCCUGAAGGCAGAGCAAACACAGUCACCCUUGCGGCCAUCUCGGAGACUCGCAUCGAAUAAAUCACAAACAAACGUAAACUUGCCACACUCACCUGAAUAAAAGGCACAGACCUGACCUCUAUGUUCAGCCACUAAGCAAAUACGCUGCUGGGUCAGUGUGAAGGUAUUUUAAGGCGUCCACGUGACAUUCUCCUCAGAUGGCCCCCAUCCUGUCCUUCCCUCUGCUGACGCAAAGGCCUUCUCACCCGUCAGAAGGUGAAGCCUUGUCCCUGCCUUGAAUGGGGCUGGCCUUGGAACUUGCUUUGAGCCCGAGAACGCUGUGAAGGGAUCUGUGUGAGACAGUUUGGGGCCAACGCCUUAAGAGAACUGAUGGCCUUCCGCGCCUUCCCUUUCCAAGUCAUCUGCCGCAGACAGAGCCCAAUAUCCCGAGACCACAGUGCUGUGAGGAAGCCAAGCCAGCAGCGGGGAGAGGCCACACGGAGAGAGGGAUGUUCAGCCGGGUCCCAGCUCUUCAGCCUUCCCAGCUGAGACGUCAGACGUGACAGAAGAAGGCCAUCUCCUCUCGGGGCAUUCUUCUCCCAGUGGACACCACGUGGAACAGGAAAACCACCCAGAGGAAACCAGCGCACAUUGCAAAAGAAGAAUAAAUGGUUAUGAGGCAUUGGACAUGGUGAUCCCCUUUAGGGACAAGCUGGCUCCCACUGUAAACGGAGGACCCUUGAUGUCCUCCAUGGUGUGUGUGACGUAGGACUGUGAGAUUUAGCAAACGGAAAAAUGAAACGGAGGGAGGGGCAGCAUUGACGGCUGAGAUGAAUGAUGUCCUGGCCUCACUGUUUCUGGAUGCAGGCCCCCAUCAACUGGGGCAACGUUGAGUGAGGCUCUGCUUCUUGCCACGUGACACAGGGGCAAGUGAGCAGCCCGUUCCGAGUAGGAUGAUGUAUGUGGACGCGAGGAAUGCAUUUUCAUCAAUCACUUGAACUGAAGGCAUGCAUUUUUUGCUGGACUGAAAAUUGGUAUUUUUGUCUUUUUUUCAAGAGGAUUGUUGGAUCCGUGUGCUCAGAUUCAUAACUGGCAUUGCUCCCUUGUCUUGGAAACAGUGUGAGAGAGAACAUUGGGUUCUUGGAAUCAGAAACUGGUUCCCGAGUUCAGCCUUCAUCCACACAAGGUCUACGGGAAGAGGCAAAAUUUGAGAGAUGGGAAAUUGCGCCCAUGGAGUCAUCAAGGGGUCAUCACCGAGGUAGCAGAUUUAGGACCCAGGUGGAUGGGAUAAUUGCCACCUCUUCCCCCUGAACCAGCAACUGUGCUUCCAAUUUCAUCAACAGAAAGGGGACCUGGGGAAGAAAAAUGGCUUUACCCUUAUGUAUCUUUUGGUCUGUUGCUGACUCUGCCACAGGCCUUUUGGGAUGUGAGAAGAGUCUCAGUGUUAAUGCAGCCUGGCUUUUUUUUUUUUUUUUUUUUUUUUUUUUUUAGCACUAUAUACUUCUUGUGGUCAUAGAGCCGUAAGUAAACAUGGAAAAGGUGACAGCCUGGGGACCUCAAGUUAGGAUUGCUGUACGGUGACAUUGAACAAUGGAGUAUCCCCAGUUCUCCCCAAUAAUUCACUGUGGACACUGACAGAACACGUGUUUGUUGAUGGCAGGGUUGGGGUAGUUUGGGGUGGACUGAAGGCAAAGGCUCUCAGUGCCCUCCAAGAUGCUGGCGAGUUCAGAGGACUAAGAUAUUCAAUCAUUGUAGGGCAACAGACUCUUUAAUACCAUGGAAAGUUGGCAAAACCUUGUGAACCUGUGUGAAUCAGAUACACUGGCUCAAAGUAGAUGAAAUGGAUCAGUUCACAUAAUUUGGCCUAGUGUUAGGGCUAUGGGAAUGAAAAUGCCCUAGGAGAAAUCCUGUGGCAGCUUUGCUGAAGCAGGUGUGUGUGUGUGUGUGUGUGUGUGUGUGUGUGUGUAAGAACCCAUAUCCCAAAUUGUUAUAUGACUUCCACCACUUACAUCAGAAUCCCUUUCUCUUCCUACUGAAUGGCAUUCUUAGCUCCCAACACCCUCCCAGUUCUCAUGCCUGAAGGUCAACUGUGAUUUCAACUUGAUGCUUUUGCCCUAUUGACACAUGAUUUUUUUUAAGGUAACUUUUUUUUUUUAAGUUUACUUAUUUAUUUUGAGAAGACAGAGACAGCGCAAGCAGGGGAGGGGCAGAGAGAGAGGGAGAGACAGAAUCCCAAGCAGGCUCCGUACUGCCAGCUACAGAGCCCGAUGUGGGGCUGGAACCCAAGAGCUGUGAGAACAUGACCAGAGCUGAAACCAAGAGUCGGAUGCUUAACUGACUGAGCCACUCCGGCGCCCUGGACACAUGAUAUUUGUAAACCUAGGAAAAAGCAAGGAAAACUCCUUGGAGAUUGAUUUGGACACUUGAUCAAAA
Neofelis nebulosa (Clouded leopard) is the source of this 3163-nucleotide long non-coding RNA. RefSeq lists it as uncharacterized. The transcript is spliced from 5 exons. NCBI's taxonomy places the organism in Eukaryota, Metazoa, Chordata, Mammalia, Carnivora, Felidae. The record is from RefSeq and is a predicted model, not a curated record.